Molecule: ribosomal RNA, 407 nt
Filed under: Verrucomicrobiota bacterium
Lineage: Bacteria; Pseudomonadati; Verrucomicrobiota
Description: Verrucomicrobia bacterium partial 16S ribosomal RNA
Rfam family: Bacterial small subunit ribosomal RNA
Source: RNAcentral
UGGGGAAUAUUGGACAAUGGAGGAAACUCUGAUCCAGCAAUUCUGUGUGUGUGAAGAAGUUUUUAGGACUGUAAAACACUUUUAGUAGGGAAGAAAAAAAUGACGGUACCUACAGAAGACGCAACGGCUAAAUACGUGCCAGCAGCCGCGGUAAUACGUAUGUUGCGAGCGUUAUCCGGAAUUAUUGGGCUUAAAGGGCAUCUAGGCGGUAAGACAAGUUGAAGGUGAAAACCUGUGGCUCAACCAUAGGCUUGCCUACAAAACUGUUGAACUAGAGUACUGGAAAGGUGGGUGGAACUACACGAGUAGAGGUGAAAUUCGUAGAUAUGUGUAGGAAUGCCGAUGAUGAAGAUAACUCACUGGACAGAAACUGACGCUGAAGUGCGAAAGCUAGGGGAGCAAACAGG